AGAGUUUGAUCCUGGCUCAGGAUAAACGCUGGCGGCGUGCCCAACACAUGCAAGUCGAACGCUCUCUGGCAACAGAGGGAGUGGCGGACGGGUGAGUAACACGUGGGUACCUACCCCAAGGUGAGGAAUACCGGCGAGAAAUCGCCGACAAUACCGCAUAGGUUUCCGGUCAUUCGGAAACAAAGCUUCGUAAGAGGCGCCAUGGGAAGGGCCUGCGGCCGAUUAGCUAGUUGGUGAGGUAAAAGCUUACCAAGGCGACGAUCGGUAGCUGGUCUGAGAGGACGAUCAGCCACACUGGGAUUGAGAACGGCCCAGACUCCUACGGGGGGCGGCAGUGAGGAAUUUUCGUCAAUGGGGGCAACCCUGAACGAGCAACGCCGCGUGCAGGAAGAAGGUUUUCGGAUCGUAAA
RNAcentral lists this ribosomal RNA (410 nucleotides) under uncultured bacterium. RNAcentral's name for it is "bacterial SSU rRNA". It matches the Rfam family "Bacterial small subunit ribosomal RNA", at positions 8 to 429 of the family's 1533-position model. The record is from RNAcentral.